RNAcentral lists this ribosomal RNA (506 nucleotides) under uncultured Glomeraceae. RNAcentral's name for it is "SSU rRNA". It matches the Rfam family "Eukaryotic small subunit ribosomal RNA", at positions 569 to 1078 of the family's 1831-position model. Lineage: Eukaryota; Fungi; Glomeromycota; Glomeromycetes; Glomerales; Glomeraceae. The record is from RNAcentral.
AGCAGCCGCGGUAAUUCCAGCUCCAAUAGCGUAUAUUAAAGUUGUUGCAGUUAAAAAGCUCGUAGUUGAAUUUCGGGGUUAGUAGGUUGGUCAUGCCUCUGGUAUGUACUGGUCUCACUGAUUCCUCCUUCCUGAUGAGCCGUAAUGCCAUUAAUUUGGUGUUGCGGGGAAUUUGGACUGUUACUUUGAAAAAUUGAGUGUUUAAAGCAAGCUAACGCUUGAAUACAUUAGCAUGGAAUAAUGAAAUAGGACGUUCGAUCCUAUUUUGUUGGUUUCUAGGAUUGACGUAAUGAUUAAUAGGGAUAGUUGGGGGCAUUAGUAUUCAAUUGUCAGAGGUGAAAUUCUUGGAUUUAUUGAAGACUAACUACUGCGAAAGCAUUUGCCAAGGAUGUUUUCAUUAAUCAAGAACGAAAGUUAGGGGAUCGAAGACGAUCAGAUACCGUCGUAGUCUUAACCAUAAACUAUGCCGACUAGGGAUCGGAUGAUGUUAAUUUUUAAUGUACUCA